RNAcentral lists this ribosomal RNA (410 nucleotides) under uncultured cyanobacterium. Its description in RNAcentral is "bacterial SSU rRNA". It matches the Rfam family "Bacterial small subunit ribosomal RNA", at positions 356 to 780 of the family's 1533-position model. Lineage: Bacteria; Bacillati; Cyanobacteriota. The record is from RNAcentral.
GGGGAAUUUUCCGCAAUGGGCGAAAGCCUGACGGAGCAAUACCGCGUGAGGGAGGAAGGCUCUUGGGUCGUAAACCUCUUUUCUCAGGGAAGAACACAAUGACGGUACCUGAGGAAUAAGCAUCGGCUAACUCCGUGCCAGCAGCCGCGGUAAUACGGAGGAUGCAAGCGUUAUCCGGAAUGAUUGGGCGUAAAGCGUCCGCAGGUGGCAAUGUAAGUCUGCUGUUAAAGAGUGAGGCUCAACCUCAUAAGAGCAGUGGAAACUACAUAGCUAGAGUACGUUCGGGGCAGAGGGAAUUCCUGGUGUAGCGGUGAAAUGCGUAGAGAUCAGGAAGAACACCGGUGACGAAGGCGCUCUGCUAGGCCGUAACUGACACUGAGGGACGAAAGCUAGGGGAGCGAAUGGGAUUA